RNAcentral lists this ribosomal RNA (410 nucleotides) under uncultured bacterium. RNAcentral's name for it is "bacterial SSU rRNA". It matches the Rfam family "Bacterial small subunit ribosomal RNA", at positions 355 to 776 of the family's 1533-position model. The record is from RNAcentral.
UGGGGAAUCUUGCGCUAAUGCGCGAAAGCGUGACGCAGCGACGCCGCGUGGGGGAUGAAGGCCCUCGGGUCGUAAACCCCUUUCGCCAGGGACGAAGCGAAAGUGACGGUACCUGGAGAAGAAGUCCCGGCUAACUACGUGCCAGCAGCCGCGGUAACACGUAGGGGACGAGCGUUGUCCGGAUUCAUUGGGCGUAAAGAGCGCGUAGGCGGCUCGGAAAGUCGGUCGUGAAAUCCUGGGGCUCAACCCCGGAACUGCGUCCGAUACUUCCGAGCUGGAGGCAGGUAGGGGAGAUCGGAAUUCCUGGUGUAGCGGUGAAAUGCGCAGAUAUCAGGAGGAACACCGGUGGCGAAGGCGGAUCUCUGGGCCUUGCCUGACGCUGAGGCGCGAAAGCUAGGGGAGCGAACAGG